UAAGUAGGUGGCGAGCGGUGUCCGGAUUUAUUGGGUUUAAAGGGUGCGUAGGCGGCCUUAUAAGUCAGUGCUGAAAUAUCCCGGCUUAACCGGGAGGGUGGCAUUGAUACUGUAAGGCUUGAGUAAAGCCGAGGUAGGCGGAAUUGACGGUGUAGCGGUGAAAUGCAUAGAUAUCGUCAAGAACCCCGAUAGUGAAGACAGCUUACUAGACUUUAACUGACGCUGAUGCACGAAAGUGUGGGGAUCAAACAGG
Molecule: ribosomal RNA, 253 nt
Filed under: uncultured bacterium
Lineage: Bacteria
Description: partial 16S ribosomal RNA
Rfam family: Bacterial small subunit ribosomal RNA
Source: RNAcentral